CAUGUAACACCAAUUUCCGUACAGAUCACCGAAGUUAAGCAACGUCGAACCUGAUCAGUACCUAGAUGGGUGACCGCUUGGGAAUACCGGUUGCUGUAAG
Acanthosepion pharaonis is the source of this 100-nucleotide non-coding RNA. Lineage: Eukaryota; Metazoa; Mollusca; Cephalopoda; Sepiida; Sepiidae. The record is from the annotation of a GenBank genome assembly.